RNAcentral lists this ribosomal RNA (439 nucleotides) under uncultured bacterium. RNAcentral describes it as "partial 16S ribosomal RNA". It matches the Rfam family "Bacterial small subunit ribosomal RNA", at positions 338 to 795 of the family's 1533-position model. The record is from RNAcentral.
CCUACGGGGGGCAGCAGUGGGGGAUAUUGCACAAUGGGGGGAACCCUGAUGCAGCGACGCCGCGUGGGUGAAGAAGCGCCUCGGCGCGUAAAGCCCUGUCAGCAGGGAAGAAAUGACGGUACCUGAAGAAGAAGCCCCGGCUAACUACGUGCCAGCAGCCGCGGGAAUACGUAGGGGGUAAGCGUUAACGGGAUUUACUGGGUGUAAAGGGGGCGCAGACGGCGAUGCAAGCCAGGAGUGAAAGCCCGGGGCCCAACCCCGGGACUGCUCUUGAAACUGCGUGGCUGGAGUGCAGGAGGGGCAGGCGGAAUUCCUGGUGUAGCGGUGAAAUGCGUAGAUAUCAGGAGGAACACCGGUGGCGAAGGCGGCCUGCUGGACUGCAACUGACGUUGAGGCCCGAAAGCGUGGGGAGCAAACAGGAUUAGAUACCCUUGUAGUC